UCCUCUUUGGAUAGGUUUCUUAUGGUGUGGAAGCUGAAGACACAGUGCAGAGCUUACAGAUUUGUAGGCCAUGCAGAAGCAGUGACCAGCGUACAGUUCUCACCAGAUGGGCAGCUACUUGCUUCAGCUUCUCAAGAUCGUACUGUCAGACUAUGGAUUCCCUGCAUUCAUGGAGAAUCAUCAGUACUGAAAGGUCAUACAGCAUCUGUUCGUAGUGUGAGUUUCUCACAUGAUGGCCACUUUCUAGUUUCAGCAUCCAAUGAUAAAUCAAUAAAAAUAUGGAGUGUUCGCCAUCAGUGCCUUUUGUUUUCCCUAUUCCAACACACUCAUUGGGUUCGCUGUGCCAAAUUUUCACCUGAUGGAAGACUAAUAGCAUCUUGCAGUGAGGAUAAAUCUGUUAAGAUCUGGGAUACAAGAAAUAAAACUUGUAUUGAUAACUUCUUAGACUAUGGAGGAUUUGCAAAUUUUGUGGAUUUCAACCCAAGUGGUACAUGUAUAGCUUCUGCAGGUUCCAAUCAUACGGUGAAGCUCUGGGAUAUUCGAAUGAACAAGCUACUGCAGCAUUACAAAAUUCACAGAGCAGGGGUUAAUUGUGUAUCAUUCCAUCCUUCUGGUAACUAUCUCAUCACUGCUUCUACUGAUGGUACCCUUAAGAUUUUGGACCUCUUAGAAGGAAGACUUCUUUAUACUCUUCAUGGACACAAGGGACCUGUACUUUCUGUGGCUUUUUCAAAAGGUGGUGAAAAAUUUGCCUCAGGUGGAGCAGAUGCUCAGGUAUUAUUAUGGAAAACCAACUUUGAUUCAUUUAAUUAUAAAGAAGUUCUUAAACACCAUAUUAGAAGAACACAUAUUGAUGGUCCUCCUCAUCUUCUUGAUAUUUACCCGAGGUCACCUCAUCUCCAUGAUGAAAAACUUCAGUCAGUUGAGGUCAACCCUACCUUUGGUGUGACUAAUACUCAAACACUUGACCCACCUGUUAUAGAGAUUAGUUCCUCUUCAUCUUUCAGUACUCUGGAUGAUGUCAGCAGUGAAGAUCUGCAGUAUCCCCCUGCUUCAAUCUUGGCAACAAGUUCAAAAAGGAAGUCAGAGAAUGAGAGCGGAUCAGCUGUGCAUAAUGUGAAAAAGCAAACAGGCAUCUCUCCCUCCCUGGGUAAUGCUUUGGAGCACAUUGUGGAGCAGCUGGAUGUUUUAACUCUAGUAUCUGAAUUAGAGCCUCCCACUUCUGGCUCUGGCGCUCAGCCCAUGAGUUUCAUCAGGAUGUUAAUUGCAUCUGUGUACUUGGGUUAGCUUGGCUUUGAAAAGCAUCUGACUGAGAAAACGCAUUUGGCCAACACUGAGAAGAUCUGGUGAUUUAAACUCUGGAUUGAUUUGGUCUUGGUGUUACCAAACAACAGAAUCCAGGUGUAUCCUUUUCAGGAUGAAAUUUCUAGACAUUUUCAGCCUUUUUGAAGAACAAUAUAUGUGACCCCACCUUUGGAUCUUUCCUGGAGACCUUCUGACAUCAGAAAGCAUACAGACAGCUGAUGGGAGUGAACUGGUGUAAGAGACAUUUCUUCUGAGGACACCAGCAGGCAGCUCACUGAAAGCUAUCACAGAGAAUGACCCAGGCCAGAUGAAAUGCGGAUACAGUGGGACCACUGAGAACCUCAGAGUGGAGGGAGACGGUGUGAGACACCGAGGAGUUUGAAACAGGACAAGGAGAUUCGUAGUGUUGGGAGGAGUCAAGCUUGGUGCAACAGGAAGAAAUUACCCUGGUCCAUUAGACCUUGUUUCCUAGCGGUUCGUAGAGCAGCCUCUUGCUGGACUAAACAUGUUUGGAGCCACUCAUUUGGUAUCUUCCCCAACUGUGCACCUUCCCUGUGGCAUGAGUGAGCACAGAGGUUAACCACCUGCUACUGCUGUUGGUAUCGCUCCACCUGCUGAAGGGGCAAAGGUCAAUGUGGUGAACCUGAAAGCAUAAAGAAAUUGCAUACAGAGAAAGCUAUUUGGAGCUGUAUGUUAAGAACAUUUUACUAAGGUAGCUCUCGAGAACUGAAUUUUAUCUCUGUAUCAUGAACCUGGCAGCUGUACUCUGUGUAGGAAGCAGUGGGAUGGAGAUGUGAAAAGGCUGGCAAGGAGGGGGAUGUAAACCCCAAAACCUACAGACCGCAAAGUUAUAAGCAAGUGUUUUGAAUUCUUGGUUGAGAUCUGAGAGAUGCUACAAGGGAGAAAGCAACAGAGUUUGAAGCAAGAGACGUAAAAGCAGUGCUGUGAUUAUAGGUCCAGUUAAUAGCUUUUAUGUCAGUAGGACGAUGAAGAGGAGAGGGAAGGGCCUUUGGAGGGAAGUAAUUAGUUUUGCAUUAGAACUCUGAAAAGUAAAAAUAUGAAAAGCUGCAGAUGAGGUUGCCUUCUAUGCUGCCUGAGAAAAGGGUUCUGCUAUCUAUCUAACCAUGGUUUUAUGAACCAUAGACCAUGUUUUUUUGUUGCUCUUCCUAUUCGAUUUUAUAAUGGUGAGUGCAUCCUUUUGCAUUUUUGAAAAUCAAUUUGAUGCUUACAGAUUGAUUUGCCACACUAAUAUCCUUUCCCUCCCUCGAUCCAUUCAGCCCCUAAUGAACAUGCCUUCCUCUGAAGUGUUCAUGACCCCGCUGACUCCAAGGCGUUUUCCAGCCUCCUAAGUACCCUGCCACAUUCUUCUCCUGCCCCCUUGUCAGUGGCACUGAGUAGGUAUCCCCUUGGCUGCCGUGCCUGCUGCUUCAUGCCUGUUGAAGGCAGGAGGUCCCACUCACCUGCUAGAUGCUUCGCCAUGUGUAUUCCUCAAGCACAGGAAGCUCCAUGCCUGGGAAAGGUGGCGAGCUAAGCACAGCAUCAUCAAGGGUUUCCUGCAAAGCCCAGCACUGCCACUGAGAACGCUUUGCCUCAUGCUGCGUCUGCUGCUUCCCAGUUUGCUUUCUCCUGGAGUCCGUGGCAUGGUGCACAACACGUGGCUGCAUGGUGAGGGGAGACAGGGCUUGCUUUGGAGUGCACAGCGAGGGUUUGGAGCAGCAGCCUCAGGUAGAUGCAGGGGCAAAAAGAAAAGAAACCUGCUCAGUGAACUAGAAAUUCCCACACUCUGUUGUCAAACAUACUUGUUCACUGGUGUGGAAAAGGGAAGCUGAGGAGAAGAGAAAUGAAUUUGAAUGCAUUUUUAAUUGGGAUUAUGGGCAUAUGGUGUGGUGCCAUUUGUUUUCCUCUUCCUGCUCUGCAGUGGGGCUCUAAUACCUUCACACAUUUGCCUUUGUUAUGUCAAAAGGGGAGACAGCAAAAGGUUCCCCCCCCCCCCCUUUGGGGCCAUACUAACAGCUCUCACUUCACCCUGAACUUUGCCAAAGGAACAAUCAUGAUUUUCAGAAAAAGUGCAGCCAGAUUGCAAAAGCAGAUUAAGCAGCUCUGACUUAUUUUUAUUAAAUUUUUCAGCUGCUCCUUGGAGGACCUUUGCUAUUUUCCAGCAGCUAAAAGGGGAGAGAGGGGACAUGAUGUCCACAGUACCACAUGCACAUAAUUCACCAGCAGCUGGAUAGUUAGGUUUUAUUGUUAUGAUAGUAUAUUUAGUGUUUUGUAAAAAGCUACUUAGGGAGCUGUUUCCCUUGUUGUACAGCAGUUUGUUAGCUGUAAGAUUCAGACAUAAGCCUUUAAUUAUGCCUAGCAUCUCCACAAAAGCAAUUUCAGUUCUCUCCCCUGCCUCAUGAUGCAUCUUAGGAUAUUCUGCAUUUGAAUGUGAACAAGCUAUUGUUUAACAUAGCUUUAAAUCAUUACAGAAAUGUUGUGUAGCAUCCACUGGGAAAGCCUGCUCCCAUCUGCCCUGUUCAUUUCUCACAGUCACUUUGGGAACGAGGGCCAAUAAUCACAGAAAUUUGGUUUAAAGGUUAAGCACAGAGUGGUGUUAUCUUCAUACACUGUACAAGCUAAUAACAGGUGAAGGUGUCACUCAGAAACAUUUGAAGAGGAAUGUAAAGCUUAAGAUUAAGCAUCUUUCCCAGCCUUCACAUAAGCGUCCUUCCAUUCAUUUUCCAAAACUGUAUAGGACUUGCAGGGUCCUUACUUAGAAGCUAAUGACACUUCAAUGUCUCUAGCAGAGUUGAAGCCAGUCUGAAUCUGCUCCUGCUUCCUGUGACACAAACCCUCUGCAGCAGACUUUGGACAGCUUGGUGUCGUAACAUCCCAGCCUGACCCUAACUCUAAGUCUGUAGCUGCUGAAUAAAAGUUGAGACUUUUAUUUUCCUUCUGAAAAUUAAGUAUUUUUAUUAUGGCUUAGACUUGCAGAAAAAAAGUAUAAAACAUUGACUAAUGUUAUUCAGUGUAUCCUAUCUUUGAUGCUUCUUUUGUCCCAGAGUUUCUGUUUCAAAUAAUGAUAAAAAAAGUUGUAUUAAUUUUACAUCAAAGGAAAGUUGGGGAAGCAGAAACAUGAAUAACAAACACAUGCAUAAUGUGAUUCUGAACAAAGAAACCUGGGCCGUCAGUGCGGGGAUAGGCCACGUGGAAACACAUAUAUGUCAUUGCAGCAUGUUGCUAACACAUGUGGGGGUCAGGCAGAUACAUUCAGGGGCAGCUGACAUCCCUGUUUGAAGGUAAAUUUGAUAGAAUCUGGUUUGUAGGUACUGUGGCAAUGGCUGCAUUUUACACCUUUACAGAGUGGUUACCACAAUCCUUUAUGUGUUAUCCUGUACAGGCUUCCAUAUACAGAAUGUGCCAAAGGGAGAGUGUAAAAAUAUGUAAAUAGUCAGUGUAAAGAUUCACUGGAAAAAAAAAAGAAUUACAGAUGAUAAUGAUAUUCUGAAAGUAGUUUGUACACAUAUUUAAAAUUAAUGAAAAAUAAAAAUUCAUUAGAUUGACAUGAAUUUCACCCAUCCAGACCUCAGAGCACCAAAACAGUUCAGCAGUUUUUCUUCUUCAGCAGCUUCCAUUAUUACCAGAUUUUCCAGUGAAACACAGAGCAUGGCCAGUGGGCCACAGCUCUGCACGGAAGUGGGGAUGCAUUUGCCCAGAGCAACUGUAAGGCUCUGGAUUCAGGAUCUUAGUUCAGAGCUCUUCCGCAGGAGCUGAGGAUAUGCUAGCCUUUUGCAAAGGUAAUUCAGACUGUUUGCUCUGGAAGUGAUUUAGCAUUUUUAACUUGUUAGGUAGAAAUAGGUAUGUUUGACUUUUAUUCGUAAUACUCCUGGUUUAGUUUGGUUUCACCAGGUAUUUGGAAUCUUGAACAGACACUGUCUAAUACUCUGAAUGUAUUUCUGCUUUCUGUUACUAUCAGCUCUGGACCCUGUUCUGCUGUCCUUCACAUCAACCUCAAACUGAGGCGGCACUCCACUGACUGAUGGUCUUUAUCACCAGAUUUUCUGAAUGUUCAGCACCCAUAACAUUGCAGCAGAUUUUCAGAUUUCAGAAGCAGGCAGCCAUCAGCUAUGGUAAUUACAGUUAGGGCCAAAUUCUCAAAAGAACUUGGCGUACUGCCUCAAAUCUGGUCCCAGGCAUGGAUACAUAGUGUUUUCCUACAGGAAUCACAGCUCCCAUUUUGGGAGUCACCUAAUUCUGUGCCCCAUAGAGGAGUCCUGCUUGGGAAGUGUGACGUCAGCAUGAAGGUGGCAGGUCUGUCACACGUGGUGAUGCAGGUUUGUGAUGCUUGUAGCACCAGAGGAGGACAGAAAAAAAUGAGAAUCCAGCUAUUAUGAAAUGAUAGUUAUGACAGGAGGAAUCCAUAAAUACAAUACAUAUUUUAUGUUAAUAAGAUCAGGUGACUGGCCCACUGCAUGCAGGGAUUGAUGUGAAAACAACCACUUAAGUUUUGGCACGUUACAGCUAAAUGUACUAGAGCAGGUCUUUAAACCUUAGACGCCUAAAUUACUUUUAAUGAAUCUCAAAAAGGUACCUAAGAUUUACAUUCAUUACCCUAGGAUCUUAAACUUCCAUCUAUAUUACCACUGAAAGAUGCUUAGAGCUGCACAAAUCCAAAAUAGUUGAAAAAAAAUCACCAGAAUACCAUUAUAAUCAACCUUAAAAUAGUUUUCAGGACAGUAACCACUAAAGUGAGUUGUAGAGGUGAGUUUCUUGAACUUCUGCCUCACCAAAGGCAGAGCCAAGAGUAAAAUAAACUGGAUGAAAUCACUGAAUGUAGGAUUAGGGUUAUCCAAGGGCCUGUUGGCCCUUCUAACAGACCCUUGAAAACUAUGCUACCUAUUUUGGGAGCAGAGUAAAUGAAGGCAGUUCACCAAUUUUUAGACUAAUCCAAAAAAUUGUAAAAAGACAAACAAACAAGGGAGCAAACAAAGUCCCCAAGCCAAAACCAAGUAAGUGAUCAAAGACCUCUGCCAGUCCCUUGAGGUAGGCAAGGUCACUGCCUGGGAACGCUCUCAUGAGUCACAGGCAAAGCUGCUCCAUCUCUGAUGUGACGCAGAAAGCCACAACAAAAUGGCAACGUACUGCUGCUGGCACGUGCGGCUUGGCUUGAGGAGGAGCCCUCACUCCCUAGCUGUAUUUCAGUGCCUUGCUAGCACUGCUCAAGCUGCCAUCCCCCAGCCCUACAGUGAAUAAAUGUGCUUGUGAGUGUCUGACCGCUUGCACAACAUCCCACCACAUGCACAGGCAGUUGCUGAAGCCCUGCCCUGCCAAGGUCAGUGGCAAUUUUUGUCAUUGACUGGUGUAGGCAGGAUUUCCCCCCAUGGACACACACCUCCUCCCGGAUGCACGUGCAUGCGGGUGUUUGUGUAUAUACAUGUGCUUUACAGUACAAAGUACUUACAGGAAGGCAAUCAUCUCUCUUUAAACAUUUUUCUUCAUAUUACGUGAAGUCAGACGCUCACUGUCACAGACACAGUUUCUCACAGCUUAAUGGUGUUAAAGAGCCCUUCUUGCUCCCAACUGCUGCAAUAACAAUCAGGUUGGGAGGAAGGGGAAAUGAGCAGUGCAGCACACACUGUACCUUCCAGCCACCAGCUAUUGUUAAGAGCACGUUGCUCCAGACAGAGUGGCAGCAAGGCACAGGGUGGGAAGCAGGUGUAACCUGCCAGGAACACCAGUCUAGCAAAAGUCAAUUUUUAAUUCAGACAAGUACCCCUCUUGCUUCAGUUGCCUGUUGCCACCAAACUGAAAGUGUUUUUAUAUUCCUGUUGCUCAGCACUUGAAAGCUUAACAAAUGCCUCUGUGGCAAACCAAGAGCUCAUUUUGUCAUGUCAGCUCUUUGGUCAUUCACCUGCAAAGUCACCAAUCUUUUUUUCUUUAAGUCCCUGUCAUAGCAUAGCAUUUCACGUGCAAGGCUGCUCUCAGAAGGCACGUUUCCAGACACUUUGCUACAGUUUGGGUUCUUUACAGAUGAGUCUGAAAUAUUUCCUCCUUGCUUAUCCUGCUUGGCUAGCUUGUUUUUCUUCUACUCUCUUCAGAAAAUCCAACCAGUAAAGGCUGCCCAGGCUGUGGUAGCCCCGUGGAGUACUUUGCUCAAGAUACAUCUGUCUAUACAGGUGUAUUGCUUGGCACAACUGUCCAGGUUUGGACUUCUGCUGGGUUGCCCAAGCCCAAUUCAGUUACCUCAUCCCCUAAAUUCAGCUGCAGUGUAGUGUUGCAGUGCUACUCUACCCUUGCUGAGCCCCUGUGCUGUUCUCAAGGCACCCUCUAGGAUGGUUUAUAAACAUGAAGCCAGCAACCCACACGUUCAAACCCCUUCUUUAGUGCGGGAGUUACUGUUCUGCAGUGCAAUACUAAAGUCUAUUUGUGAUUAGGUUUAGUUCACUGUGCUCUUGAUCUGCAGCCUUUAUUAUUACCUUGUUUUCGGCUAUCUGCCUGUUUGCUGAGCGCUCACACACUGUGCAGUGCAAUAUAAAUGAGUGUAUUCAGCCCAGCUGCCACACAAAAAACAAGCAUGAUGAAAGAACAUCACACCUAUGCCUGCCACUACCCAUCAGGACAUUAUCUCUGCUCCCUUUCCUCCACCAAGGCCUUCGGAUGAAGUACUACCUUGUAUAAAGCUCACUCAUGAAGUGCAUUCCCUGGCUGGCUAUUCCCUGUCCAGGAUUAUCCAUCAGCUGCAGGACACAACUGCUUGGCAAGGGGGUCAAUGGACCAUGAGAAGGCCUGGCAUUUUCUGUCCCUUACUAAGCAUUUUCUCCCCUUGUCCCUUCUUAUAUUUCUGUUCUCCUUAUAGUUAUUGGUCCUCUUUUACCACAGGAUGAUUUUUGAGAAAAAGAAUUCACCAGUCUCCUCCUCCCCCUCAUGCAGCACCUUUCAACUCCAGUUGGACCCUACUUGGUUUUCUUCAGGAGGUAGCUCAAUACCCUGCCAAAGCCUCAGGUAUUUCCCCCAGCAACUUGUCCCUGACCAUCUUCCCCCCUUCCCCAGCAGCUCUUGCAUCACUUAUGGGUGAUAUUGCCCUGUUCCUGCUAGCUUGAUUUAUUUGGCUGGGCUGGGAUGAUGCUGAAAAAACAUGGAAAAAAAACCCUCAGAAAUGGUCUUUCCCCCAAGGAAAAUUCUCCUCUUUAAAUAGUCCCUUUGCAUUUGGGAGGAAAAAUACAAUUUUUGUCUCAUUAACAUAUGAUUCCCCAAUCAUCUGCACUUCUGAGCUCUGUAUAUAUUUUAUGUUCGUUCCCAAUACACAUGAUUUAACCUGGAGCUAUGAUGCACAGAUUUAGGCUACAGGAAAAGGACUGAGACUUUGUAUUAGUAAUCAGUUUGGCUUUAUUUCACUGAGCAGUGACACUGGACAGUAACAACUUACAAGUAAUUUUGGACCGAACAAGAUACAUCUGUCCCUGCGCUGCAACGGAGAUGCAUCUGUCUCUGCCCCGAGAGCUGUCAUUGUCUCCUCAUCUAUCACUUCCCACUUGUGGCAUCACUUCAUCUAGUCAACAAUAACUUGCUGUCUGCACUGCCAAAAAACUUUGAAAAUGCUCUGAAUUUCAUGCCAGGAAAGGCCAUAAGGUACGCUUUGUACGUCAAAUGCCUCAGAAACUGGUUGUGUGCUACUGCAAACUCUUUUCCAAAAUAUAUGUGG
Molecule: RNA transcript, 8986 nt
Organism: Athene cunicularia (burrowing owl)
Lineage: Eukaryota; Metazoa; Chordata; Aves; Strigiformes; Strigidae
Gene: POC1B
Gene name: POC1 centriolar protein B
Exons: 12
Source: RefSeq, a predicted model, not a curated record